This 496-nucleotide ribosomal RNA is filed under the name uncultured bacterium. Its description in RNAcentral is "bacterial SSU rRNA". It matches the Rfam family "Bacterial small subunit ribosomal RNA", at positions 1027 to 1529 of the family's 1533-position model. The record is from RNAcentral.
ACUGGUGACAGGUGGUGCAUGGUUGUCGUCAGCUCGUGUCGUGAGAUGUUGGGUUAAGUCCCGCAACGAGCGCAGCCCUUAUUGUUAGUUGCUACGCAAGAGCACUCUAGCGAGACUGCCGUUGACAAAACGGAGGAAGGUGGGGACGACGUCAAAUCAUCAUGCCCCUUAUGUCCUGGGCCACACACGUACUACAAUGGUGGUCAACAGAGGGAAGCAAUACCGCGAGGUGGAGCAAAUCCCUAAAAGCCAUCCCAGUUCGGAUCGCAGGCUGCAACCCGCCUGCGUGAAGUUGGAAUCGCUAGUAAUCGCGGAUCAGCAUGCCGCGGUGAAUACGUUCCCGGGCCUUGUACACACCGCCCGUCACACCAUGAGAGUCGGGAACACCCGAAGUCCGUAGCCUAACAGCAAUGGGGGCGCGGCCGAAGGUGGGUUCGAUAAUUGGGGUGAAGUCGUAACAAGGUAGCCGUAUCGGAAGGUGCGGCUGGAUCACCUC